CUUUUAUUCAAGAUUAAAACAACAGUUUUAAGUAGUUCUAGUUUCUUCAAAAACCCUUAUAUCUGCAAACCAAGUGUGAAGGGAAGUUGAAGUUCUAGAAGAAUUCAAGUUAUAAGGAGAACUUGCAGAAAUUGAGAUUAAAUCUAAAAGUGGAGGCUGAAUUAUGAUAGUUAUAUUGGUUAGAGGAUAAGGUAUGUAAGGAUAUUCGAUUCGAUAAGCCUUUGGCAUGAAAUUUGAUACUUGCAAUUAAUACCAAUGAAGUGAAUCUCAUAAGUUCUAUUCCUAGAAAAGGAAACAUAGUUGCAGCGUACUAUCUCCAAAAAGCUAACAAUAUUUCCUCCUCUCAGUAGUGUAUAGAACUACUUCAUUAUAUGUUCACUUU
Molecule: non-coding RNA, 382 nt
Organism: Solanum lycopersicum (tomato)
Lineage: Eukaryota; Viridiplantae; Streptophyta; Magnoliopsida; Solanales; Solanaceae
Source: RefSeq, a predicted model, not a curated record